GACGAACGCUGGCGGCGUGCCUAAUACAUGCAAGUCGAGCGAAGUUUUUCUGGUGCUUGCACCGGAAAAACUUAGCGGCGAACGGGUGAGUAACACGUAAAGAACCUGCCUCAUAGACUGGGACAACUAUUGGAAACGAUAGCUAAUACCGGAUAACAGCAUUAACUGCAUGGUUGAUGUUUAAAAGUUGGUUUUGCUAACACUAUGAGAUGGCUUUGCGGUGCAUUAGCUAGUUGGUGGGGUAAAGGCCUACCAGGGCGACGAUGCAUAGCCGACCUGAGAGGGUGAUCGGCCACACUGGGACUGAGACACGGCCCAGACUCCUACGGGAGGCAGCAGUAGGGAAUCUUCCGCAAUGGGCGAAAGCCUGACGGAGCAACGCCGCGUGAGUGAAGAAGGAUUUCGGUUCGUAAAGCUCUGUUGUUAGGGAAGAAUGAUUGUGUAGUAACUAUACACAGUAGAGACG
Molecule: ribosomal RNA, 466 nt
Filed under: Gemella haemolysans
Lineage: Bacteria; Bacillati; Bacillota; Bacilli; Caryophanales; Gemellaceae
Description: bacterial SSU rRNA
Rfam family: Bacterial small subunit ribosomal RNA
Source: RNAcentral